RNAcentral lists this non-coding RNA (582 nucleotides) under Pan troglodytes (chimpanzee). Lineage: Eukaryota; Metazoa; Chordata; Mammalia; Primates; Hominidae. The record is from RNAcentral.
AGCUUUGGAUUCAUAAGCUCAGUAAAUUAAGGAAUUUCACAUUAUGAACUUAAUUUGAGAUGGGUUGGACUGGUGAUACCUGGAAGGGGUAAAUGAGAAUCCACUCUGGAGGCACUUUAUGCCUGAGGGAGCAUCCACAAAUAAUUUUUCAGGGGCUGGAAACCUAACAAUUUCACGUCCUAGACAACUUGCUAAAAGUCACCUAAAGACAGUCUGGUUACUGCCAAAGAUAUGCUUUCAAAUAAGAUUUGGAUAAAGAAGGGAGGUAGAUGCCUUUUUUCAGCAGUGGAGUGAUGUCUAGACCAGUAGAUGUACGCAUCUAAGUGAAUUCAUCACCAGCAACAAUUUCCAGAAACUUCCUGACCUCCAGAUUGCAGCUUCAUUAGUGUGAGUUUAAAGCCAACUAGAUGCCAUUCUCAGAUUCCACGCAUAUGGCCAAGGGUCCAGGAAAUAAGAAGAAACAGGAUUGAGGGGUUGGUGUUAUGGGGCAUUUACUUGAAUUUUCUAUGCUAUAAUUGUCUCAUCUUUAAAAUGGUGAUAAUAAUAAAAUGGUCAGUUAUUAAAUAAAUUAACACAGUGAAA